Small nuclear RNA from Alosa sapidissima (American shad), 135 nucleotides. RefSeq annotates it as U11 spliceosomal RNA. NCBI's taxonomy places the organism in Eukaryota, Metazoa, Chordata, Actinopteri, Clupeiformes, Clupeidae. The transcript has a single exon. The record is from RefSeq and is a predicted model, not a curated record.
AAAAAGGGUAUCUGCCGUGACUGGCACAGGGAGGGAGGAAUAAUCUGACUUCCCUGCGGAAUCGAUAUCAAGAGAUUUCGGAUGCAUAAUUUUUACUCUCCGGGGUUGCCAAUGAUCGUUUAUCUUGGCGCCCCA